Molecule: ribosomal RNA, 497 nt
Filed under: uncultured bacterium
Lineage: Bacteria
Description: partial 16S ribosomal RNA
Rfam family: Bacterial small subunit ribosomal RNA
Source: RNAcentral
GGUGAACGCUGGCGGCGUGCCUAAUACAUGCAAGUCGAGCGAACAGACGAGGAGCUUGCUCCUCUGACGUUAGCGGCGGACGGGUGAGUAACACGUGGAUAACCUACCUAUAAGACUGGGAUAACUUCGGGAAACCGGAGCUAAUACCGGAUAAUAUAUUGAACCGCAUGGUUCAAUAGUGAAAGACGGUUUUGCUGUCACUUAUAGAUGGAUCCGCGCCGCAUUAGCUAGUUGGUAAGGUAACGGCUUACCAAGGCGACGAUGCGUAGCCGACCUGAGAGGGUGAUCGGCCACACUGGAACUGAGACACGGUCCAGACUCCUACGGGAGGCAGCAGUAGGGAAUCUUCCGCAAUGGGCGAAAGCCUGACGGAGCAACGCCGCGUGAGUGAUGAAGGUCUUCGGAUCGUAAAACUCUGCUAUUAGGGAAGAACAAAUGUGUAAGUAACUAUGCACGUCUUGACGGUACCUAAUCAGAAAGCCACGGCUAACUACGUG